GGACAUACUUGUCAAGUUGACCUCGACGUAUCAAUGCCUCAAUUUUAUCCUUCGAUUGUCGGCACUCCUCAGUGUUAUGGUCGUGGUUUUGAUGGUAACGACAGUACUUUCUUUUGUCUUUUUUUUUGAUGAGGCUCUCAAAGGAUUAGGUUGGCGAAGAUAUCCCUGAUUCUCAAUCUCCAUCAAUAUCUGAGCUCGAGGGGCGGAUAGCGAAGUGUAAGAAUCA
This 226-nucleotide long non-coding RNA is filed under the name Elaeis guineensis (African oil palm). RNAcentral describes it as "long non-coding RNA (EGUI_LNC029368)". Lineage: Eukaryota; Viridiplantae; Streptophyta; Magnoliopsida; Arecales; Arecaceae. The record is from RNAcentral.